GCGACAUUGGUGUAGUGGUUAACAUGGUGUGUCCAUAUAAAAAGGCGCUGCACUUCCAGGUCUACACACAGACCCAGGUUCGAAUCCUGGAUGUCGCG
Non-coding RNA from Marasmius sp. AFHP31, 98 nucleotides. The record is from the annotation of a GenBank genome assembly. NCBI's taxonomy places the organism in Eukaryota, Fungi, Basidiomycota, Agaricomycetes, Agaricales, Marasmiaceae.